CUACGGGACGCUCCAGUGAGGAAUAUUGCACAAUGGGGGGAACCCUGAUGCAGCAACGCCGCGUGGAGGAUGACGCAUUUCGGUGUGUAAACUCCUUUUAUAUGUCAAGAAAAUGACGGUAGCAUAUGAAUAAGCACCGGCUAACUCCGUGCCAGCAGCCGCGGUAAUACGGAGGGUGCAAGCGUUACUCGGAAUCACUGGGCGUAAAGGACGCGUAGGCGGGUUGGAAAGUCAGGUGUGAAAUCCUACAGCUUAACUGUAGAACUGCACUUGAAACUUCUAAUCUAGAGUAUGGGAGGGGGAGAUGGAAUUAGUGGUGUAGGGGUAACCUCCGUAGAUAUCACUAGGAAUACCUAAAGCGAAGGCGAUCUCCUGGAACAUUACUGACGCUAAGGCGUGAAAGCGUGGGGAGCAAACAGGAUUAGAUACACGUGUAGUC
RNAcentral lists this ribosomal RNA (439 nucleotides) under uncultured bacterium. RNAcentral's name for it is "partial 16S ribosomal RNA". It matches the Rfam family "Bacterial small subunit ribosomal RNA", at positions 339 to 795 of the family's 1533-position model. The record is from RNAcentral.